This 301-nucleotide ribosomal RNA is filed under the name uncultured bacterium. RNAcentral's name for it is "partial 16S ribosomal RNA". It matches the Rfam family "Bacterial small subunit ribosomal RNA", at positions 509 to 809 of the family's 1533-position model. The record is from RNAcentral.
CAGUAGCCGCGGGAAUACGAAGGUCCCAAGCGUUGUUCGGAAUCACUGGGCGUAAAGGGAGCGUAGGCGGCGUGGUAAGUCAGAUGUGAAAUCCCGGGGCUCAACCCCGGAACUGCAUCCGAUACUGCCAUGCUUGAGGGUUGGAGAGGUAGCUGGAAUUCUCGGUGUAGCAGUGAAAUGCGUGGAUAUCGAGAGGAACACUCGUGGCGAAGGCGAGCUACUGGACAACAUCUGACGCUGAGGCUCGAAGGCUAGGGUAGCGAAAGGGAUUAGAUACCCCCGUAGUCCCUGUCUCUUAUAA